GGCUGUUCUCGGGCUGUGGUCACCCCUAUCAAACGAGCGCAAGACCAGUCUAAAGCUUAUUUAUUUGGCCUUUAGACGUUCCAUACUGUGCUUAACGCUUUAUUUUUAUGACAUAAAUAUUUCCAUGCGUCGUCUGCAUGCGAAAGAAGCCGGUAGGUUUUCCAUAGUCAACCGGAGCCAAUCAAGAGAACCUCCCGCUGAACCAGUGCGCUUCUACGAAUUGCUACAGGUGGGGCACGAAGGGCAGGAGCCUGGCUUGACGGGCCGAGGGGGCAAGCAUGCAGAUGGAGCAGUACCAGGUGGUGAGCUCGGUCGGGGCAAGCCCCUCGCAGGGGCAGCCUCUGGCUGUGGCUGCCACUGACCAACAGCAGCAGCAGCAGGUGGCUGUCAUGCAGUCCCUCUCGGGGACGCCCAUAGCCCAUGUCACUACUGCACAGCCACAGGUGCUCCAAGUCUCCCAAGGCAAUGGCCAGACUCAGCUGCUGCAAGCAGGCGGCCAGCAGAUCAUGGUGCAGACAUUGCCAAAUGGCCAGACUGCUGCCAUUCAGAUACAAGGCCAGCCAGGCCAGCAGAUACCACAGCUUCAAGUGAUCCCCAUCAGCCAGCUCCAGGGCCAGCAGGGCCAGCAGAUCAUUAUCCAGCAACCCCAGCAAGGCCAAAUUCUGCAAACAUCAGAUGGACAAACGCUCGUGUACCAGCCUGUCACAGUUGAUGGCACCAACUUUGUGCAGGGCCCUGGAGGCAUAAUUCAGAUUCCUCAGGGUGCGCCACAAAUGGUGCAGGCAGCACAGGCAACACCACAGACCAUAACCCUGCCAUCCUCUGUGGGCGGAGGAAACAUUGUCAUGUUCCAACAGGUGAUGCCCAACCAUAACGCCGUGGCGGCAGCUCAGGCAGCGAAUGCCGGGGCAGCAACGCUGCAGGCAGUACAACGCAUCCCGCUGCCAGGAGCCACCACGACCACCACGACCGCUCCUGCCGACGUAGUGGAAGAGGAGCCCCUGUAUGUCAAUGCCAAGCAGUACCAUCGCAUCCUAAAGCGACGCCAAGCCAGGGCACGACUCGAAGCCGAAGGACGCAUACCCAAGGAGCGGAGGAAGUACCUACACGAGUCGCGGCACCGGCACGCCAUGAACCGGAUCCGCGGCGAGGGUGGGCGAUUUCAUUCGGGUAGCUCGCGCAAGGAUCAUGGAGAGAACUCGCCUGGUGAUGCUGGCAGCAACCACAACUCCGUGGAUGGCUCCUCACAGCACGAUGACGUCUCUAACGGGCUUCACUCCCUUGAGGUACUCGAGAACCAAUCGUCAAAGUACACCUUCACUGUGCAGAAUGGUCUCAUCAACGUGAUGCCCUCAGAACUUAUGGUUGCGAGUGGAGAUUCAAACUGACAGCCGGUGACCAGCAGCAACCAUCAUCAAAACUUUGUCAUCAUCAUAAUCACCGUCAUCACUCAACCUUCGCAUCUGUACAAAGGACACCACACCUGGCAUUCAGAAUGCAUUGCAACCAUAUGUACAUAUCUCAAAAAGAAGCUACUGACAUUGUCGACGAAAGAAAGACAUUUGAUGCUGCCACGCGUGUGUUUGACACCUCGACAACUGCUUAUGAUAGUCUGCUUGGACUGUGCAUGGCGGUUGAUGAAAGUCUAGCAGUGCAAGUGCUCCUCCCGUUUCCCUCUGUGCCGAUCAUAGAACUAUACGUAAUGGUUUGUUCCUCAACAAUUUUAUAUUUUCUGAGAUAACUGUCGUGGAUUUGUUUUGUGUGUACAGCAUGCGGGGUUGCAGUAUACUGAAAACAUAUCAAUGCCAACACAUUAGUGGAAAUGUGUUUUUAGGUUAGAUUCCAAAUUUGUGAUUGCCGAUGAAGUGUAUUUGUGUGCUGUAAUUCAAGAACUGAAAAAUUACUUGCAAGGUCAGAAAAUGUACAAACAAUUAAAGUACUACUUUUCUUUUCUAUUGAACACGUGAACCUUUGCUCUGCCUGUUGCAAUUGUUUCGUGCUCUGAGCCUACAACUACUUUACGAUCACAUCAAUGAAGCACUAAAUCUAGUUGAAACGAUGGAAUUCUGCGCCAAGAGAGCUUGAAAGUUUCGUGUUGUGUGAAAUGCUGGGUAUUUUGGUACCACACUUACGCGCUAGCGCCAUUGCUGCCGAGUUAGACCUCGUUUGCUUACAAGUGUGAAAGUGUGCGACAGUAAACGUGCAUGUAUAAACUUCUCAAUAAGAAAGCAAGCAUGCUACAGUCUGGGUUUUGUUUUUAAUGAGUUGUUUGGAAAAGUCAAUGCGUGUCGUGCACACAUUUAUUGUUUGUGCUCUGAUAACAGCAGCAUUUUGUUUGCGCUGGCUAAAAUUAUUGCAAGUUCUACGGACAGGUUAGUAUGGUCCAUGUACCUUGUCUUUUCAGUGCUUGAUGUUGCCCUUUUAAGCAAAAGGCGCGAUGGGUAAAUGCCAUUGAGAGGAUGGAAACUGAAGUGUUGUCCUGUGUGAUUUGUUUUAGUAGUGAAAUAUAGGCCUGUGCCUAAUUCCAAGCAAGCAAGCACACGCUAAUGCAAGCUUUGUACAUAUACGCUGGGAAAUAGUUAAACAAGUGCCAGUAUGCUUUGUUUCUUUUUUUAUAUACAUAUAAUGAAAUGAGUUGAGAGGUGAGUUUUACACUGUUUCACAAGUGAAGAUAUACUUCAGCAAUGCCUGUCGUUUAAGUCACCUUGGUCAUUUGUUAAUGGCAUUGGCAAUUUAUUUUCCGGAAGAAAGCUUCCAGGUGUUGUUGAUACCACUCGUUCGCAUUAUCAACAGAACUGGUACUUAAUGCAAUGAAAUAGCAUGCAAAUUGUACAUCUCCUGAGGUGUUUCACACUGGUUUCAAUUAGAGCUGCUCAGCGAAAUUUGGCCAGCAUACGUAUUGCGUGGCUUUAGCCAUCACAUUGUGUUGUCUAGAGUUAAAUGCUAUGCCAACUAACAUAUGCACUUUUGUAGUUGUACGAAUGGAAAUAUGUUCCCUCUACUGAUCAUACGACGUGCAAGUUGUUCUUAAUUUUGUGUUGUACUGUUGCAGUAGCCUGAAAUGUGUGCUUGUUACAAUUAAAUUUCUUAUUGACGAC
Molecule: unclassified non-coding RNA, 3098 nt
Filed under: Dermacentor andersoni
Lineage: Eukaryota; Metazoa; Arthropoda; Arachnida; Ixodida; Ixodidae
Description: nuclear transcription factor Y subunit alpha-like
Source: RNAcentral